UGGGGAUUAGUGUAACGGCAGCACGACUGAUUCUGGAUCAGUUAGUCAAGGUUCGAAUCCUUGAUCCCCAG
This 71-nucleotide transfer RNA is filed under the name Phycisphaerae bacterium. RNAcentral describes it as "tRNA-Gln". It matches the Rfam family "tRNA". Rfam says of the family: Transfer RNA (tRNA) molecules are approximately 80 nucleotides in length. Their secondary structure includes four short double-helical elements and three loops (D, anti-codon, and T loops). Further hydrogen bonds mediate the characteristic L-shaped molecular structure. tRNAs have two regions of fundamental functional importance: the anti-codon, which is responsible for specific mRNA codon recognition, and the 3' end, to which the tRNAs corresponding amino acid is attached (by aminoacyl-tRNA synthetases). tRNAs cope with the degeneracy of the genetic code in two manners: having more than one tRNA (with a specific anti-codon) for a particular amino acid; and 'wobble' base-pairing, i.e. permitting non-standard base-pairing at the 3rd anti-codon position. Lineage: Bacteria; Pseudomonadati; Planctomycetota; Phycisphaerae. RNAcentral also lists the same sequence under 2 other names. The record is from RNAcentral.